UUCUAUAUUAAUGCCAGUGUCAAUUUAUAGCACUUUUAUACACAUUGGCAGUUGACCAAACAGUUGUUUGUUAGACAAACAAAAUCAACAAACAAAACAAGAACGCAUCAUACUUAAUACAAAGGAUGAAUGAGUUUAUAAAUGUUAAGGUGGUAGAGAGGAUGUUUGAGAAUGAACUGAAGAAAACAAAUAACAAAAGAUGCGCUGAGUGGAUGAGAAUUGUACAUCCUGAGAAGUGUCAGUGAGCAUAACAAGGGUGAUUCUACAUUGAUAACUGCCACCACUGUAUCUGGGAAUGGUCCUGGUAAAAGACACCUAGACCACCAGAUGCCCCACUGACUUUCAUCAUAAGGAGGAGAGGAGACUGAGCAAGCCACCGAAGAGGUUUCAGAGCUUCCUAAGGAUGAGAAACUGAAGGCCCAACAGGUUUUGUCCACAACUGAAUUUUCUUCUAUCACAACUCCAACCCAGGAUGACACCAAAGGACAUGUUGGAGACACUAAUUCCUCAUUGGCACCAACUCAGCAGGAAGAAGGCUACUCUGAGGCUUUAGAGACGGGCUCUGAUCAGGAGGUCAGUGAGGAACUGAGGAGGUGUCUGAGCUAAACUGGAGGCCCAACCAGUUUUACAAGCUGAGGUAUCCUUCUCCCUUGCAACUGUAAGAGUCUUUUUGUCAAAGUUAUUUUUAACUACGCUAAACCCCCACUAGCUAGCGAGCUAGCCAUCAAGAAACCAAGCUAAACACAUACAGGGCUCACAAUAAAACGGUCGAGCAAACACAUUGUUCAAGAGACUA
Long non-coding RNA from Alosa sapidissima (American shad), 796 nucleotides. RefSeq lists it as uncharacterized. The record is from RefSeq and is a predicted model, not a curated record. NCBI's taxonomy places the organism in Eukaryota, Metazoa, Chordata, Actinopteri, Clupeiformes, Clupeidae. The transcript has 3 exons.